UGGUGGAGUGAUUUGUCUGGUAAAUUCCGUUAACGAACGAGACCUCGACCUACUAAAUAGUUCGACGAAUUCUUCGGAAUUCGUACGUAACUUCUUAGAGGGACUAUCGGUGGUUAGCCGAUGGAAGUUCGAGGCAAUAACA
RNAcentral lists this ribosomal RNA (142 nucleotides) under uncultured eukaryote. Its description in RNAcentral is "partial 18S ribosomal RNA". It matches the Rfam family "Eukaryotic small subunit ribosomal RNA", at positions 1299 to 1458 of the family's 1831-position model. The record is from RNAcentral.